UGGAAUACAUGGAGUUAGAAAUUAAGAUUCACCUCACUUUGCUCCAACUGCACGAUGAAACACAGCUUCCUCUGUGGAAGUCUUUGUUAAAGUGGCUGAAAUACUUUAUCUUGCAGGAAUAGCGGUCCUGUCAGAUGGUUUAAAUGCACGCAGAAAGAAAGCUGAGCCAUGUUAAAUCCAUUAGUCAACACAAUGAUGCAACAAGGAUGAAACAAUAAAAUGGUGCUGCCACCACAAGCAAUUCAGGUCUCCAUACUCUGUCAGAAAAAGCUGUAAAACAACAGAUGCACACCCUGGGUGUAGAGCCAUAUCGCCAUGUCAAACACCACCACUGCAGAACUUAAUGCAUGUCACCACAACAGCUCACGCGUUGACCAGGACACAGCAAACACAAGCCAAGGAAAGAGGAGAGCAUUUGCAGCAACCAACCCCUCCUAUGUCUCUCUGGUCCCCAGAACAUGUGGAUGACAUCUGUUUCUGCUCCACCAGAUGGCACACAGAGACACAAAUGGACUCCACCUGUCUUCACCUGGCUUGGGACACUGUUAGCAGCUGCUCGACAGGCUUGGCCUGAUGUAUCUGACAAAUAAGUCACAGAAGGACAUGAGCUUGAGCUGCUGGAAUAAUAACCACCAGCAGCAGAAAGAGUGGGUUAACCAGCUAUAUCCUGUAAUCAUACUGAAGAAACAGCUCUGGACCUGUUAGAUCCACCUGACAGGAGGAACCGUUCAACGAGAAAGCAACCUGUGCUUCAACAAGCUUCAGCUAACUUUUGUAAAGAGCUGCUGUUUAAUCAUUUCACAUAUUUCAGAUGUCAAAGGGAAUAAAAUAUUCCUGUAGUCUUCCAUCAGCCUCUCUGGGCUCUGAGCGAAGGAAGAUUACAAUUUAUUGCAACA
Molecule: long non-coding RNA, 896 nt
Organism: Girardinichthys multiradiatus
Lineage: Eukaryota; Metazoa; Chordata; Actinopteri; Cyprinodontiformes; Goodeidae
Exons: 3
Source: RefSeq, a predicted model, not a curated record